AGUGAACGCUGGCGGUAGGCCUAACACAUGCAAGUCGAACGGCAGCACAGUAGGAGCUUGCUCUUACGGGUGGCGAGUGGCGGACGGGUGAGGAAUACAUCGGAAUCUACUUUUUCGUGGGGGAUAACGUAGGGAAACUUACGCUAAUACCGCAUACGACCUACGGGUGAAAGCAGGGGAUCUUCGGACCUUGCGCGAUUGAAUGAGCCGAUGUCGGAUUAGCUAGUUGGCGGGGUAAAGGCCCACCAAGGCGACGAUCCGUAGCUGGUCUGAGAGGAUGAUCAGCCACACUGGAACCGAGACACGGUCCAGACUCCUACGGGAGGCAGCAGUGGGGAAUAUUGGACAAUGGGCGCAAGCCUGAUCCAGCCAUACCGCGUGGGUGAAGAAGGCCUUCGGGUUGUAAAGCCCUUUUGUUGGGAAAGAAAAGCAGCAGGUUAAUACCCCGCUGUUCUGACGGUACCCAAAGAAUAAGCACCGGCUAACUUCGUG
This 492-nucleotide ribosomal RNA is filed under the name uncultured bacterium. RNAcentral describes it as "partial 16S ribosomal RNA". It matches the Rfam family "Bacterial small subunit ribosomal RNA", at positions 29 to 507 of the family's 1533-position model. The record is from RNAcentral.